Molecule: long non-coding RNA, 583 nt
Organism: Eriocheir sinensis (Chinese mitten crab)
Lineage: Eukaryota; Metazoa; Arthropoda; Malacostraca; Decapoda; Varunidae
Exons: 3
Source: RefSeq, a predicted model, not a curated record
GAAGGUAUGUGAAGGAGAAUGAUAGAAAAAAGAGGGGAGAGAGGGAAGGAAGAUGUGUGAAGGAGAAUGAUAGAAAGAAAAGGGGAGAGAGGGAAGGAAGGUGAGUGAAGGAGAAUGAUAGGAAGAAGAGGGGAGAGAGGGAAGGAAGGUAUGUGAAGGAGAAUGAUAGGAAGAAGAGGGGAGAGAGGGAAGGAAGGUGAGUGAAGGAGAAUGAUAGGAAGAAGAGGGGAGAGAGGGAAGGAAGGUGAGUGAAGGAGAAUGAUAGGAAGAAGAGGGGAGAGAGGGAAGGAAGGUGAGUGAAGGAGAAUGAUAGGAAGAAGAGGGGAGAGAGGGAAGGAAGGUGUGUGAAGGAGAAUGAUAGGAAGAAGAGAGGGAAGGAUAGAUAAAUGGGAGGAGAAAACAGAGGAGGGAAUGAAAAGAAAAAGGGAAAAGUAAAGGAAGAAAAUAUCAGUGAGAGGGAAGGAAGAGAAAAAAAAAGAGAGGAAGGGAAUAUAAAUGAGAUUAAGGAUAGGGGAAGAGAAGGGAAAACCGGAAAGAAUGAAGGACAAAGAUUCACGAGGGAAAAAAGAAGAGGGAAAAGAGA